UCCUGUUUCUGGUUGAUCUUGGUAUCAUGUUGCAAAUGGCAAAACCUGUGACCGGAAUGGUACUCAGUUUUUGAAAUUUGAAGCAUGAUGUCAAGUACAACGGAAGUUGGA
This 111-nucleotide microRNA precursor is filed under the name Physcomitrium patens. Its description in RNAcentral is "Physcomitrella patens miR1217 stem-loop (ppt-MIR1217)". The record is from miRBase by way of RNAcentral. Lineage: Eukaryota; Viridiplantae; Streptophyta; Bryopsida; Funariales; Funariaceae.